Pelodiscus sinensis (Chinese soft-shelled turtle) is the source of this 6549-nucleotide non-coding RNA. NCBI's taxonomy places the organism in Eukaryota, Metazoa, Chordata, Testudines, Trionychidae. The record is from RefSeq and is a predicted model, not a curated record.
UGGCUCCAUUGUGGUAGCAUCAACAUUGCAGGGCUGGACAAGGCGGGGUCAGGGGAAUUUGCCUUCGCUCUGACGCACCACAGACCGGGAGCCACCUGAGGUAAGCAGCACCCUAGCCAGAGCUAGCACCCCUCACCUCUUCCUGAAUUUAAUUGACAUGUCAUAUCAAUGUGAUGGUGAUCUUGUCAACACUCAAUGAGCCUUCCGGGUAUAUGUUGACAUAAACAUGUAUGAUCUGUGCAUGCUCACAAUCAGAUCCUAUGACUUUCUUCAGUUAAAAAUAAACACUGGCUUUCCAGCUGGUGUAAAUAUCAGACUGGCAAUCAGUCUGGUGCAUUCUGACAUCUGUUCCCAAGUUCAUUGUGGGGAUUAUGGCCCUGGUCUUGCCCCCGUCAGUUCUGGGAAGUAACGUUGGUUGGCUGGAGCUUAAUGUGCAAUAUAAGGAACUGUCACUGGCUAGUUUUAAAAAAAUACACAUUAGCUCUGGUUCAUAACAGCUGAGCACCAAACCUCCAAUCCACUAGUCAAAAACUGGACAAGAGCAGCCUGUGGUGUGGCAGCAUCUCACGCUUUAAACAGGCAACAUGCUGGAUAGAGUAGGAAACCGACCACUAAAUGUGAAGUCUGAUUCCCCCGCCUAGCUUUUGCCAUGGACCUUCGUUAAUGCAAGCUCCAUGCACUGGAAGAAGCAGGCAUAUAGUAGUGCCUAGCUGUGCUUAUUUUUAAAAACCCCCAACAAAUUCUAGGCUUGUGGUUCCAGAAAGCCCAUUGAACUAAAACUUUGGUGUGUCCGCAUUUAAUGAGCCAUUUGUGGCAAAGGAACGGCAGUGAUGUUAAAAUCAGAGGUCAUGUGCAUGGGAAAAAAAAGUGCUAUAUUUUUAUUCACUGGUGAUACCCGUAAAAGCCUUGCCCUUUUCAAACAUGAUUAGUGCUUGGGACCCGUAGUCACUAUCACAUCACUAACAGCGUGGCACAUUAGCAGAGCUGGAUUGUAGGGCAGCACUGUGUCGCAAAUGGGCCUUUAGGUUGCCAGCUGUCCACUGUUGGACCAGAACACUCAGUCAAAAAGGGACCCCAGUGACUCUGGUUGUGUUGGUAGACUCCUUACCUGGCUCUGCAAGCAGUAACAUGGCCCUCGGCUCUUAAGACAAGGAGGGAUGCUUGGGGUAGGCUCUGCAGUGCCCAUUGGACAGAAACUGCAGCCAAUGAGAGUGGAAGAGGAGCACCACCUGCAGGCUGAGGUAACAGCAUGCACCACGGAGACCUGUCUGGCUGUACCUCCACCUAGGAGCCAGGGGAUAUGUUGCUGCCUUCAGGGAGCCACCUAAGGAGGAACAGCUGCACCCAGCAUCAAAGCACCCUCAUUUAUCAGCUAAUGUCUUAAAAACAGAGCCUUAGCCACUGCUUUCUCCAGGUGUGCUUUAAAACUCCGCACACAGAGGCUACGUCUACACUACGCAUUCUUGCGCAAGAAGAUUUGCAAUUGAGCAACAAAACUUUUGCUCCCCGAAAAGCAAAAGUUUUGCCUCAGCAACUGGUAGCGUAAAUGGUGCAGUUCAUUGGCAGCAGGCUCCCUGUUGACAAUGCAAUAAUGGUUGGAAGGAUUUUGUCAGCAAACUGCGUGUACAUUGCCCAAUGCUGCAUAGAAUAGACAAAGCCAAGUCAGACGAUAAGAGGCGAGAGGCAGGAACACAGUUGCCUAUAAAUAGCUUUGCGUAUUUGGGAGUUCUAUGUUCCUCUGUUUUCUACAAAACUGAGCACCUGUCCAGCUCUCCACUAGUAAUAAAACCAUUUAAAUGCUUGCCUCUCGCUACCUAAUCAUGUUUAUUGCCCUCUUUCUCUGCUCUGUUGCUUAAUUUUGCUUUAAUAAAAUGCAAUUUCAAUUGAACUUUCUAUUGGAUCCUUUUUAAGGUAACAGCAGUAGUCACAAGCAGUAGAAGGUCUAACUUCUCCACCUCGUUUCCCAUCACCGUUCCCAAGCCCCACUGAGCAAAAGAAGUAAUAGACAUACCCAGAUCAAUUUUAUUUUGCAUACAUAUGAAACAUGACCCUAUCAAAAGUUACAGGGCUUCUUUCCACCUUUUUUUUUUCUUGUAAACUAAAGGGAAACAAAAAACAAAACCCCCCAAAACUUAGAAACCAAAAGGAGAAGAAAAGCAUGCAAGCAAUCUGCAAAUAAUUCUUAGAUUUAUCCACAGUGCUGCUGUGUUUGCAAUUAAGUACCAAACAACUUCACUAGAACAGGAGUUUGACUUCAUUGUAAGAGGUGGUUAUAAUCCACCAACAAUAGCAAAAGAAACAGUUGAAUUGCAGAAAAACUUCACCAGAAGUUGAAUUUAAAUAUACAGCAUAAGAAUCCACUGGAAAAGGGUUCUUUCUACUCAACGUAAUCAGGAAAACAACAAAUCUUAGACACAUUUAAUAAUAUAAAAGGGUUUAACAACACCUAUUCACUCACAUCAUAGGACCUACUCAAAGAAAAAAAGACUCCCUUGAUUCAGUUAAAAAAAAUACAGUGUAAAUGCAGCCAUAUUAUGUGAUCAUAGGCAGCUUACAGUUACUGUUCACCCUAGUUUAGAAAAUACAUACAACUGUGCUAUGUGGGUAAAUGGGUCUUUUGACCACAUCAUACAUGUAUCUCAUAUGUUCAUAGGGCCUGCAUUGCGAAGUCAGAAGCAGCUGCUGCAUCCUUACCACCGGCCACUGCAGGAAGAAUAUUUUAACGGUAAUAUUCUGAGGACAACAUAGUAUUGCUGUGAUACUUUGGAAAUGCAUGUUUUUCUACAGUGUUCUUCAAUGUAGGUUUCAAUGGAAGGGUAAUUGGAUGAAAGCCACUGGUCUGUGUUAUACAGGUCAGACUAGCUUUAUCUAUUGAUCCCUUCUAAAAAAUCUAUUAAGCCCAUGAAUAACACUGCAAUAGGAGAGUUCACUAUGUGCGAGUCAUCACAGGUUUGCACUGCAGGUUUUCCCACCAACAUUCUGUUCCCACUGCAUACACGUAAGUAGCAAAACCGUAUGAGCAACAAGGAGCUCUCAAUAGUCAGUGGUCAGGCCUCAAUUCUGCAAACAUUUAUGUGCAAUCUUAAUUUUCAGGCCCCGAGUACUUGUACUGAAGCCUCCUUGCUUAAGGUUAAGCACAUAUGUGUUUGCAGGAUCUGGCACUUUGGGUACUAUAAUAAUGGGAGCUAGCGAGAGAUAUGCAACAACAACAAAAAAAGAGAUUACAGUAAAUUUAGAUUGUUUUGUUCAGCCAUUAUCAGCUGGGUGGAAUGGAGAAGAAUUUUGCCCAUUGAUGUCUUUAUUACCACCCAAUAUUAGGACAAUCAAAAAUAUCACAGGUUUCACAAAGUUUGGUUUGCGAUUUCACAUCAACUCUCUCUUAAGUUUGCAAAAAAGAAGAACAAAAAAAAAAUUAGAAUUUGAUUAGCUGGUUUUAAAUCUGCAAAGUAGGCUGUAAGGAUAAGCAAGAGAUCAGGUCAAAGUUCAUGUUGGAAUGCAAUGUACCAGCACAACAGAAAGGAAUGAGCUUUGCCAUGUAUCAUGAAAUCCUACAGUCUCAGUAAGUAGGAAUGUCUCUUUUUUUUUCCCCAAAGAGAUAAAUGGUUAUGAACGUCACUAUCAACACUCCUAAACCACAUGUUGAACAUGAGCCCAUAUGAUCUGAUUUAAUAACUACCUGUGGUCUUUAAUACAAGUGCAAAUGCAGGGCCUAGUUCUAAUCUCAUACCAGUGGAAUUGCAUUGACUUUACCAGCAUUCCUUUUGUUGGAGCCUAGUAACGGGCCAGCCACCCGGCAGCACAACAAGGAGCCCAGCAGCCCCACUACUGCCAAGUGGCAUAGCUGCUCAGAAGGACUAGGAGGCAGCAGGGGUGCCCAGCAAGACUGAAGCCCAAGCUGGGCUGUCACUCUGCAGUGCAGCUGAACCCCAGCAAGGGGGCUGCCCCGUGGGGCCGAGAGCCUGGAGGUAAGGCUGUGCAUGAGAUGGUGGGGCUGGGAGCCGUGUGUGCAGAGCAGCUGGCAGCAGGGGGAAGUUGGCUGGAAGGCUGGCAGCGAAGCCAUGACUGGAGGGUCGGAGGUGGGGGGGAGAGACAAGAGGCAAGGGGGGGCCCCCAGCAAUGACCUUCCCCGGUCCAGCAAAAUCCCUUAUCCGGGACCAGUCAGGUCCUGAAUGUGCUGGACCAGAGAGAUCCAACCUGCAAAUCCAUGUACUAAGGAACUCUUACUGCACAUCAGCAGGGUCCAUAUGGCGCAGCAGGCUGGCAUGGGGUAGAUUCGUGACUCAGCUUGCCACAAACAAAAUGUUUCUACAGAUAAGCCCUUUUAUUUAGAAAACUCCCCGAACAACCCAGCCUUACAGGUUAGCAUUUUUAACCUCUGAUGUCAUCUUUAGCCUUUCAUUUAUUUCUUCCUGAAAGUAAGACGAAUAGUUAAAUGCUGAGAUAAAACCCAGCACAAAGGCAAAAUGCUACCCACUGCUGCUGGCAGGAGAAGCCUCUGCUUAUUAACCAAGUUUAAUCCUUUCCUUUGGGACAAAUCCUGAUCCCAUUGCAAUCAAUGGUAAAUCUCCCAUCGACUCCAGCAUGAUUGGGAUUUGGCCCCUUAUGACUGCCUACAAAUCAUCCACAGGCGUUUAUGAAAUGUCUUUCUAUGACUGGAACGUCACAUUCACCGAAGCCCAUUCAGUGCAACACAAUUCAAACAGAUGUAAUUUUAGUGUAUUUAUAGCAGACCAAUUCCUCCCAGAGAAUACCCGGAGUGGCCCUCCCGAAAAUAUUUUCUCCUAGAUGCCAUACAAUCAAUAGGAAUUCUGUCCACGUUAGGACUGCUGGGUUUGAUCCUUUAAAGCAGGGGAUGGGAACCUCAGGAGCUGGAUGUAGCCCUUGGCUUGCCUGGAUUCCGCCUCCCCAAGGCUCAGGGUCUCCCCCUACAAUGGGGAGCCUGUGCUGGAACUCCAGCCCCCCUUCUGCCUCACCAUGGGGCUGGAGCACACAAAAUAUACUAGGCUGGGCCCCGUUAUGCUCUGGUGUGCAACAGGAAUGCGGGAAGUGUCUUUCUCCUCGUUUGGAUGCCAUGUCAGGGAGGGGUUUUUGUGUGCAGCACUCAACUGAUUUUUCUGUAGGUCAGUGGCUUGACCCAAAAAAGGUUCUCCAUCCUGCUUUAAAGGGUACUUCUAUUUGGAAAAAUGUCUAAAAAGAGGGGGGAGGGUUCUUGGAUUUACUGGUACUCAGUACUUUCUGUACUGACAGUGCACAAUUUACAAACAAAAAGAUGUUUAGUUUUGAUUGUUAGACCCGGCAAGCUCAACCUGGGCUGAGAAGUAGGCUUUCAGACACAACAUCACUAGUGAGAAAGGCCAAAUAAGGCCCUCAAUUUCCCCUGUGCAAUGCAGGGCUAUGUCUACGCUGCAGACAUAAAAUUUGUGGCGCGUCUACACUGCACGUGCAUUUUUACGCGAGUAAAUUUACAGUAAGGCGUUGGAGCAGAGCGCUUCUUGUGCAAGUUAUUCCUCUCCCUACGAGGAAUAAGUUCUCUUGCACAAGAGCUCUUGCGCAAGGAGGCAGUGUGGACGGGCAACAGGGGUUUCUAUAGCAAGAAACCUCUAGGGCUAAAAUGGCCAUCAGAGCUUUCUUGUGCAAGAGAGCAAUCCCACUGCCAUGGACGCUCUUGCGCAAAAGCACAUGGCAGUAUGUAGCUCAAGUACUUUUCCGCAAGAACUCUUGUGCAAAACAGUUCUUAUGCAAAAAGCCUGCAGUGUAGACGUAGCCCAGAUAUCUUGGGAUUGUGUGUUCAGUUAAACAUGGGCCCCAACAUUCAUUCAAUGGGAUACAUUGAACUGGUGUAACUUCAGUUCGAGCAGCAGUAAAAGCACCAUACUUUAAUUGGAAAUAAUCAAAAUAAGUGCAAAAAUGUCUGUAAAACCAACCAUCCAUAAGAAUUUCAGGAGAAAAGGUUUUGUUUGUUUGAAGUUAGGGAGUGGCCACUGCCACUCAAAGAACCUACCAGAAAUAUGAGGCAAAUAAAAACGAGGAGGACAUUUUCAGCAUGAUAGCUGCAUGGUCAAAAUGUCCAUGCAUUAGACUGAGAAGCAACUCUUAAACAGAUGUCAUAGAAAGUUAUUGUGCUUAAAGCAUUGUUAAGAGAGAAUUUUCAAAUCUCUUGAUUGGAGAACACAACACCCUUUUGUACUCCACUCUGUAGCUGUAAGACCAUAACCAAAACCAGCGAGCUAACAUGCUGUAUGGAACAAGGACCUAGUCAUCACCCAGUGAAGUCAAGGACAAAACUCCCAGUGGUUCCAAAGGGACUAAGAUGGGAGCCCAAAGCCCAGAUGCAAGUUCAGUGCCUAAAUACAUUGAGGAUCUGGGCCUAAGUUCUCUUUUUUUUCUAUUUUAACUUUAGGGCAAAAAAACCCUUCUGUGCACUGACAUAUUUCUAAGAAGUUUCUCUACAAGGGUUGCUAUGUGAGCUGAUAACAUCUUCCCUGCCAUAGAUAGGCCAAUCUAAUAUUUAGAUCAUCAAUUAUAUUUUACAAUCUUAUCCUUGGCAAA